Molecule: non-coding RNA, 96 nt
Filed under: Porphyridium aerugineum
Lineage: Eukaryota; Rhodophyta; Bangiophyceae; Porphyridiales; Porphyridiaceae
Source: RNAcentral
CACCUUGUUUCGCUUGACAAAACGUUGAAUCAUUUUGUAUUCUCAACGUCUUCUUGGGCUCAAUUCCUUGUUCAUAAAAGCAAGGCAUUAACUUGA